AGUGAACGCUGGCGGUAGGCCUAACACAUGCAAGUCGAACGGCAGCACAGUAAGAGCUUGCUCUUACGGGUGGCGAGUGGCGGACGGGUGAGGAAUACAUCGGAAUCUACUUUUUCGUGGGGGAUAACGUAGGGAAACUUACGCUAAUACCGCAUACGACCUACGGGUGAAAGCAGGGGAUCUUCGGACCUUGCGCGAUUGAAUGAGCCGAUGUCGGAUUAGCUAGUUGGCGGGGUAAAGGCCCACCAAGGCGGCGAUCCGUAGCUGGUCUGAGAGGAUGAUCGACCACACUGGAACUGAGACACGGUCCAGACUCCUACGGGAGGCAGCAGUGGGGAAUAUUGGACAAUGGGCGCAAGCCUGAUCCAGCCAUACCGCGUGGGUGAAGAAGGCCUUCGGGUUGUAAAGCCCUUUUGUUGGGAAAGAAAAGCAGCAGGUUAAUACCCCGCUGUUCUGACGGUACCCAAAGAAUAAGCACCGGCUAACUUCGUG
This 492-nucleotide ribosomal RNA is filed under the name uncultured bacterium. RNAcentral describes it as "partial 16S ribosomal RNA". It matches the Rfam family "Bacterial small subunit ribosomal RNA", at positions 29 to 507 of the family's 1533-position model. The record is from RNAcentral.